RNAcentral lists this ribosomal RNA (1223 nucleotides) under Staphylococcus aureus. RNAcentral's name for it is "bacterial SSU rRNA". It matches the Rfam family "Bacterial small subunit ribosomal RNA", at positions 97 to 1305 of the family's 1533-position model. Lineage: Bacteria; Bacillati; Bacillota; Bacilli; Caryophanales; Staphylococcaceae. The record is from RNAcentral.
GGCGGACGGGUGAGUAACACGUGGAUAACCUACCUAUAAGACUGGGAUAACUUCGGGAAACCGGAGCUAAUACCGGAUAAUAUUUUGAACCGCAUGGUUCAAAAGUGAAAGACGGUCUUGCUGUCACUUAUAGAUGGAUCCGCGCUGCAUUAGCUAGUUGGUAAGGUAACGGCUUACCAAGGCAACGAUGCAUAGCCGACCUGAGAGGGUGAUCGGCCACACUGGAACUGAGACACGGUCCAGACUCCUACGGGAGGCAGCAGUAGGGAAUCUUCCGCAAUGGGCGAAAGCCUGACGGAGCAACGCCGCGUGAGUGAUGAAGGUCUUCGGAUCGUAAAACUCUGUUAUUAGGGAAGAACAUAUGUGUAAGUAACUGUGCACAUCUUGACGGUACCUAAUCAGAAAGCCACGGCUAACUACGUGCCAGCAGCCGCGGUAAUACGUAGGUGGCAAGCGUUAUCCGGAAAUUAUUGGGCGUAAAGCGCGCGUAGGCGGUUUUUUAAGUCUGAUGUGAAAGCCCACGGCUCAACCGUGGAGGGUCAUUGGAAACUGGAAAACUUGAGUGCAGAAGAGGAAAGUGGAAUUCCAUGUGUAGCGGUGAAAUGCGCAGAGAUAUGGAGGAACACCAGUGGCGAAGGCGACUUUCUGGUCUGUAACUGACGCUGAUGUGCGAAAGCGUGGGGAUCAAACAGGAUUAGAUACCCUGGUAGUCCACGCCGUAAACGAUGAGUGCUAAGUGUUAGGGGGUUUCCGCCCCUUAGUGCUGCAGCUAACGCAUUAAGCACUCCGCCUGGGGAGUACGACCGCAAGGUUGAAACUCAAAGGAAUUGACGGGGACCCGCACAAGCGGUGGAGCAUGUGGUUUAAUUCGAAGCAACGCGAAGAACCUUACCAAAUCUUGACAUCCUUUGACAACUCUAGAGAUAGAGCCUUCCCCUUCGGGGGACAAAGUGACAGGUGGUGCAUGGUUGUCGUCAGCUCGUGUCGUGAGAUGUUGGGUUAAGUCCCGCAACGAGCGCAACCCUUAAGCUUAGUUGCCAUCAUUAAGUUGGGCACUCUAAGUUGACUGCCGGUGACAAACCGGAGGAAGGUGGGGAUGACGUCAAAUCAUCAUGCCCCUUAUGAUUUGGGCUACACACGUGCUACAAUGGACAAUACAAAGGGCAGCGAAACCGCGAGGUCAAGCAAAUCCCAUAAAGUUGUUCUCAGUUCGGAUUGUAGUC